RNAcentral lists this ribosomal RNA (48 nucleotides) under Sarcosphaera coronaria. RNAcentral's name for it is "partial 28S ribosomal RNA". Lineage: Eukaryota; Fungi; Ascomycota; Pezizomycetes; Pezizales; Pezizaceae. The record is from RNAcentral.
GGGUGACCUCAGAUCAGGUAGGGAUACCCGCUGAACUUAAGCAUAUCA